This is a non-coding RNA of Callorhinus ursinus (northern fur seal), 3000 nucleotides long. Lineage: Eukaryota; Metazoa; Chordata; Mammalia; Carnivora; Otariidae. The record is from RefSeq and is a predicted model, not a curated record.
CCUCCCUCCCAUGCCCGCAUCCUCCGGCAGAGAGCAGCCUGGUGCCCUGGACGCACCCCUUAUAAAGCGCAGUCCCUUAGUCAUUACCACCUUGUCUCUGAGACGGAGGCUCCUACCUGGCAUCCCGGGCCUGGGCUGUGGCGGGAAGCCCCUUGCUCUGGACACGGCCAGCAGUCAUCAGCACAGGUGGCCUGCUCGGCCCACGGGCCUGAACUUGGGGCAGGGCCACACCUGGCUGCGAGGGAAGCUGGACUUUGGGGUCUUUAGUCAGCUGGCCACAGGCUCAGCUUGAAAUGCCAGUGGUGGGGGUGCCAGUCCUAAGGAAAAAGAAAAAUCAAAGAUGGGUGGGGACACACCCUGCCCUUUCCUGAGGGAACCCCCACAAGUGACAGAGCUGGCUCAGGACACGAGUGUCCCAGAGGGCAAGGCAACGGAGCUCCUUGGGUCCAUGUGACCAUCCCAUGUGGCUGGCGUGCCCCCUCCUCCUGCUGAGUUGGGCUGGGGAACGUGGGUCACUCGUGGCCAUGCCCCGAAGGUGAGCGCUCUUGUGGGUUGUGGAUCACCUAAGCUCCUGACAUGUCCUGGCGGGAGACAAAGCCCACCUUCCACGCUGCAGACCCGGAAGCACCCAUCACUCUCCAGACAUCUCUGUAGCUCGGAGGCAGGCAGCAGACAAGCCCGGCGGAUCAGACGCGCCGGCCCACGCCACCAGGACGGAGGACAUGGAGCCCCCUGUGGGAUCUGGGCCAGGGGGUGGGGGCUGUGGCGUGGCAUCUGCCCCAUUCCCGGUGUGAGCAGCGGCGGCUCAGCCGCCGGCCUCAGCCUGGUUCUCCGGCUUCAGGACCACUGGAGUCUGGCCUUCCCGGCAGUUUCCUUUUUGCCGAAGGAGCCACAGACCGAGUCUCCUGCAGCAAGAAGCGCUGAGUGGGGACAUUUCCUCCACGGCCACCUAGGGACGGCUGUAUUCUCAGUCCCUUCCCCCAUUCUCUGUCACAGCUGAGUGCACGCUGGAUUCCAGGAGGAACAUGCUCUGCCUGGAGCUCAAGCUGCGGGAUGAGGAACCAGCUGUCCUCCAUAUGGUCUGACGAGUGCUGGAAAGACUCUGGCCCCUGAAUAGCUCUUUCUGGGCUUUGUCGCCCUGGCUUAAAGUACUGUCAGUCACACUUCACCCCUCAGGAGGCCGGCCGGCCAACCUGCCUACUCCUGGACUCAGAGACACAGGCCACGGGCCAGAUUCUUCUUCAUCUGCCAGGUUAGUGAGGGUCAGCAGCAGGAAAUCGCAUGGGCCUCAGCCGGCUCCUGAGCGGAAAUCGGCACAGCCUCUGGGCAUGGCAGCUUGCCAGCUGGCACACAGACUCUUGCAUCCCGCAGACACCGUCCCUAGACACCAGCCACCAGUCCAGGCCCUGAAUUACAAACGCCUGGACACCAGACCUUCCCUUCUGGUGGGAGGGGUCAAACAAGAAGCAAACGAGCGCACUCUGUACAUGCGGAAUAUUACCCAGCCCUGGGGAGGAAGGACAUUCUGACACAUGCUACAAGGAUGAACCUAAGGACAUCACGCUCUGCGAAAGAAACCAGUCACAGAAGGGCAAAUACGUGAAAACCAGAAUAAAACAGGAAGAGAGUUGGAGAGAGCAGGGAGGCAAAGCGGCCACAUCCCCUGAGCCUGGGAGGGCUGGUGCCCACUGAAAGGUGACAGUGGAGGCUGGAGAGCUGUGGGGGCUGCCCUCCAGGCCGAGGGCCCUGGGGCAGGAGCGUGCCGCCCGAGGGCCCGGCAGCAGCAGGGCCACCCUCAGAGCUGGGGCAGAGCCGCCCUGUGCUGAGGCCCCCCGCAGUCCUGGCGCGGCGCUCGGCUCCCGGAGGAGCCCUUCUGCCUGGCCGCGGGCUGCCUGGCCAGAGCAGCAUCCUCCCAGAGGCCAGCUCGUUGGUUUGCAAGCUCCGUGUGGCAAUUCCCGCCCACAGACGCGUGUGUGCGAGCGCUCUGGACGGGGUGAGCCCAUGGUUUCCACAGGUCUUGGCGACCAUGUCGGGGUGCCGCUCUGACAGCAGAGGCCACGAAGUCCUGAGAACAGAGGAGCUGCCCAGGCCGGCAGGACUCGUCAGAGUGGCGCCGCCCAUUCCUCUGAACCCUUUGCCAGCACAGCCAGGGGCGGGGCAGGGACAGCGAGGCCGGGCCUGCUGCCUGGGCAGGGGUGAGGCACACAGACCGGCAGCCGGGCUUCAAGGGAGGCGGUGCUCACGACAACAGGGACAGGUUGUGUGCAGAGGUGGCUCUGCCCCAGCCUGGUUCCCACUGGGGGCCCUGAAAGCUGGCCUUCAAACGGGGGGCAGGCUCUGGCUGCCCGGUGUGUCCGCCCGGGGCUGGCCAGGCUGGGGGGGGCGCCCGCGUGUGCUGUGCCAGGGGAUCACUUGCCCCGGCGGGGUGUGGUGGGCAGGGCGUCUGCAGGCUGGCCGCCCCGGAAUUUCUGUAAAUGUAUCCUAACAGAUUCAUGCCGACUGUUUUUGCCGUACUGACGCACAUCAAAAGUUGCAUCUGUUUUGAGCGCGUAUUUGCUUCACUCAAAGUUUACAAGUUCAAAGAGAGGCGAGGACCAAUGAAGUCUGUGUGCAGAGCCUGAGAAACUGUCAAGGGCCACGGAGGAGACAGGAGGGGACCGGGGGACACGGCGGAUGGGGGUGGGGGAUGGGAGAGCACAGAGGAAGCGCCGUGCAGCGGGUCAGAGCCUCUCCGGCACAGUGCCAGGAGGUGCCAGGACGGCCGGCCAGGCGCUACCUAAACCUCGCCAGGUUCCAGAGAUGGGAUUUGCUUGAUGGACAAAGUCCUAGAAGAGCACGCGGGGCCGGAAGCGCUGCUGUGGCCACAAGAGCCUGCCACGCCCAGAACACAAACAUUCCCACACACACAAUCAGGAUCGCAGGGGUUUGAGAACGCUCAAGGGGAAGCAGAAGACCAUGAAACCACCUCUCAAAUUCUAAGUAAAAGUGAUUUCCAAGUCC